GGGGCUAUAGCGCAGCUGGUAGCGCAUCUGCUUUGCAAGCAGAGGGUCGCCGGUUCGAGUCCGGCUAGCUCCA
RNAcentral lists this transfer RNA (73 nucleotides) under Aeriscardovia sp. Its description in RNAcentral is "tRNA-Ala". It matches the Rfam family "tRNA". From Rfam's summary of the family: Transfer RNA (tRNA) molecules are approximately 80 nucleotides in length. Their secondary structure includes four short double-helical elements and three loops (D, anti-codon, and T loops). The record is from RNAcentral. Lineage: Bacteria; Bacillati; Actinomycetota; Actinomycetes; Bifidobacteriales; Bifidobacteriaceae.